GACGAACGCUGGCGGCGUGCUUAACACAUGCAAGUCGAACGGAAAGGCCCUGCUUUUGUGGGGUGCUCGAGUGGCGAACGGGUGAGUAACACGUGAGUAACCUGCCCUUGACUUUGGGAUAACGUCAGGAAACUGGGGCUAAUACCGGAUAGGAGCUCCUGCUGCCUGGUGGGGGUUGGAAAGUGUCGGCGGUUGGGGAUGGACUCGCGGCUUAUGAGCUUGUUGGUGGGGGAGUGACUUACCAAGGCUUUGACGGGUAGUCGGCCUGAGAGGGUGACCGGUCACAUUGGGCCUGGGCUACGGCCCAGACUCGUACGGGGGGAAGCAGUGGGGAAUGUUGAAGAAUGGGGGGAAGCCGGCUGCAGAAACGCCGAGUGCGGGAUGACGGGCUUCGGGUUGGAUACUGGUUACGCCUCUAACGUAGCGUGAGUGACGGUAAUGGGUAAAGAAGCGCCGGCUAACUACGUG
Molecule: ribosomal RNA, 468 nt
Filed under: uncultured bacterium
Lineage: Bacteria
Description: partial 16S ribosomal RNA
Rfam family: Bacterial small subunit ribosomal RNA
Source: RNAcentral